Pieris napi is the source of this 832-nucleotide long non-coding RNA. RefSeq lists it as uncharacterized. The transcript is spliced from 3 exons. NCBI's taxonomy places the organism in Eukaryota, Metazoa, Arthropoda, Insecta, Lepidoptera, Pieridae. The record is from RefSeq and is a predicted model, not a curated record.
UACAAUUGCAGCUGUGAAGAGGUUAUCGCUAUCGAUAAACUGGUUAUUUUGCAAAAACAGUGUAUUUUAGCUGUGAUGCGAACUUACAAAAUAUUGUGUUAAUAAAUUAUUUAAAGGUGAUUAUCUAAGAGUAUCUGUAUACAAAUAUUUUCUAAACAAUUUGAGUAUUAGGUUAAUAUAACAUUGAGCGGAAUAACAAUGAUUCUUCGUAUCGAGUCCAAGCUUGUGCUAGCUUAUAUUGUAUUAGUUAGUGGCAUUGAAGAAAGCGAGCGGUAUUUAGAAGCUCCAGAAGUGACAAGCGUGUCUUUGGCAGAACCAGAAGGCCUGUAUGUCCAGUGGUGGCCUGUGAGACAAAGGGACGAUGAUCCAGUCAUUGGGUACAAGAUAAGGCUUUGGGAAAUACCAGAAUCAUCAACAACUGAUAUUCAGUUGGUUGAUGCAUACAAGUAUCCGGGGACAGUGAAACACGAGGAAUCCUCUAAGUCAUUUUCUGUCAACAAUACGGAUCCAAUUUCCAGAGAAGAGAUCGUUGGGUCUGCGAACAAAGGUUUGAUGUCGGCUACAGUAAAAAUCAAAUAUAACACGAUUUACGAAGUUCGAGUAUUGGGCUUUAAGAAGGAUGUUGAUGGGCCUAUGUCUUUACCUACGAGGAUUAAGGUGGUGAAAGGGAGUGGCUAUCAGGUUGUUCUACAGAGGACAGUAACAGGUUGUCGGAUUACCGUCCCUUCGGAAGUACAACACGACAAUGACCCAUAUCCAUACGAACACAAUUUCAAUUUUUAAAACUGUGAUAGAAACACAACAAUAAAACUUGUAAAAUUUUAUUCAUCGA